UGGGCAGGGCUGGUGGCGG
RNAcentral lists this unclassified non-coding RNA (19 nucleotides) under Chlamydomonas reinhardtii. RNAcentral describes it as "small RNA Cre_3368". Lineage: Eukaryota; Viridiplantae; Chlorophyta; Chlorophyceae; Chlamydomonadales; Chlamydomonadaceae. The record is from RNAcentral.